UUGGUAUUCUUUUGAAAGGUUGCUUUGCAUCGGUUGUUCUCGUUGGAAGCGAGGGUACGGACAACCUAGCUGCUGGUGAGUUUCUCUCUUUUAUGGGUGUGAUCCUUCGAUGGCAGAAAUUAUCUCAAAGGAUACAACAUUGUUUAUAUUGAAGGUUUAGAAAUUAGUUGAUCUCUCUCUAUCUCUCUCUCAUUUUUUUUUUUCCGGAGGGCAAAAAGGCUAUUGUCGAGGAAAUUCUGGUUCUGGUCGAAGCCAUCAAGGACGGAUCGAUGAAAGGGAAGGAAUUCGCAAUCUUAACGCUUCUGCAACUCUGUAUGUUCGGAACAGGGGUUUGCUUGUAAGGGAAAGUGGAAUCCUUCCGUUGGUCGCUCUCUCACAGUCGGGAAGUGCCCGAGCGAAGCACAAGGCUGAAACAUUACCUGGGUAUCUGAGAGAACCGAAGCAAGAGGCAUCCUCUUCUAAUCCUGUGGAGAGGUACAAUCCUACGUAGCUGCACAACUUUAAGGAUCAAUAUUAGCAAUUACUAUAUAUUUGGCGUUGAGAAGAGGGAUUUCUUUGGGUUAACACCAAUAGGUUCAGACAAAUGAGCAUUUGGGAUGGAGUUUUUUUUUAUCAUUGGUUUUUGUACAAUGUUUGUAGAAAACGAUUGUAUACAUUUUAGUUUUUAAAAGUUGAAUGAAAACAAUGAAUUCUUAUGUCC
Long non-coding RNA from Macadamia integrifolia, 700 nucleotides. RefSeq lists it as uncharacterized. The transcript has 3 exons. The record is from RefSeq and is a predicted model, not a curated record. NCBI's taxonomy places the organism in Eukaryota, Viridiplantae, Streptophyta, Magnoliopsida, Proteales, Proteaceae.